ACCCCACCCCCGGCUGUGGGCUCAGAAGCAGAGCUCAGGGUGCCUCCACCAUGGCCUGGACCACCCUCCUGCUGCCCCUCCUCUCUCUCUGCACAGGUUCUGUGGCCUCUUCAGUGACUCAGCCCUCCGCGGUGUCCGUGUCCUUGGGACAGACGGCCAGUAUCACCUGCCAAUUUGGCAGCUUAGGAAGCUAUUAUGCUCACUGGCUCCAGCAGAAGCCAGGCCAGUCCCCUGUGCUGGUCAUCUAUAAUGAUAACAGCAGGCCCUCAGGGAUCCCUGAGCGAUUCUCUGGCUCCAGGUCAGGGGACACAGCCACCCUGACCGUCAGCGGGUCCCAGGCCGAGGACGAGGCCGACUAUUACUGUCAGGUAUGGGACAGCAGUGGGUAUAAUGCUCACAGUGACACAGGCAGAUGGGGAAGUGGGACAUAA
Molecule: non-coding RNA, 431 nt
Organism: Vicugna pacos (alpaca)
Lineage: Eukaryota; Metazoa; Chordata; Mammalia; Artiodactyla; Camelidae
Source: the annotation of a RefSeq genome assembly